Molecule: ribosomal RNA, 484 nt
Filed under: uncultured bacterium
Lineage: Bacteria
Description: partial 16S ribosomal RNA
Rfam family: Bacterial small subunit ribosomal RNA
Source: RNAcentral
AUUGAACGCUGGCGGCAGGCCUAACACAUGCAAGUCGAGCGGAUGAAGGGAGCUUGCUCCUGGAUUCAGCGGCGGACGGGUGAGUAAUGCCUAGGAAUCUGCCUGGUAGUGGGGGAUAACGUCCGGAAACGGGCGCUAAUACCGCAUACGUCCUGAGGUAGAAAGGGGUGGAUCUUCGGACCUCACGCUAUCAGAUGAGCCUAGGUCGGAUUAGCUAGUUGGUGGGGUAAAGGCCUACCAAGGCGACGAUCCGUAACUGGUCUGAGAGGAUGAUCAGUCACACUGGAACUGAGACACGGUCCAGACUCCUACGGGAGGCAGCAGUGGGGAAUAUUGGACAAUGGGCGAAAGCCUGAUCCAGCCAUGCCGCGUGUGUGAAGAAGGUUUUCGGAUUGUAAAGCACUUUAAGUUGGGAGGAAGGGCAGUAAGUUAAUACCUUGCUGUUUUGACGGUACCAACAGAAUAAGCACCGGCUAACUUCGUG